AAAUACAAAAUUAAAACAUGGUUUAAAAGCAGGUCUUAGGACAUGGGUUUUACCCAAACGCCAGUCUAAAGAGGUGCGUUUUGAGCUGGUUUCUGAAUGCGUGGAGGUGACUCAGUCCUUCCCGUCACAGACUGUCACAGCCUCUGAUCUGUAGUCUGUCAUUUGUAAAGUCAGCCUCUAAUCACGGCUGCUGUAACAGCGGACAUCAUACCGCCGUAUACCGUCGCUCUGACAUAACGUCACCUGAGCCCCGCAGCCGUCCGUGUUCUGCUAAUUACUGUAACACACUGUAAGUGUCGAUUGUUCCUUUGGCUUUAACAGCAUUGAGUUUCCCCCGGCAGAGUAAUGGAGGAACACUAUAGCACCGUUUUACAACCAUUCAAGGUGAAGGAUGAACAAAGAGCUACAACCUCUUUUCACGAAACUACUAAUGCUUUCAAGUCUAAGUGAGCCUCAUUUUAAACAAAACAGUGUAGCUUAUAAACAAGUAGUGAUGGUCCUGAAAACUAAAUUACCAAAACUUUAAUUUUGAUUGUAAUAUUGAGUUGAAUUCUAAUUAAAUUGUAACGUAUCGAGCCUCAGGAGUCAUACCUGUGUUCUGUGUGCUAUAGGAAAUGACUUAUUAUCCCCAAAGCAAACGCAUGUGACAGCACAGAUGUUUGCUGCAGCAUGCUUGCAAACACACCGGCUGCAUGUGUGUGUGAGAUGCUUGUGUACAUUUUGUUAGCUCCGUUAUGUUGGAUGGAAUGGAUGUUUCUUGAGGCCAAGCCGCGGUGGGUUCGCUGCGUGUGGGACAGCAGGGACCUGUUCUUCCUGAAAUCUCUUCAUGUUGAGGGGCUACCUACCAGAUGCGGUCAGUAGACAUGGUCGGUACCAUGUGGAACGGCUGCUUUAAUUGAAAUGAGUCAGAGCCGUAAUGAGAACAGCCUCGUGCCGCCCUGCGGCUUCCACACAUUUCUCUCCCACUGCUUGAAAAUAUUCUCGCUGCUGAAGACGUGUCCGGCUCUCCAGCCCCCUCCCGCCUCGCUUCACAUUUCCUCAUUGGCUCCGUUUCUUUCUUUCCUUCUCUCUGCUUUCAUCACACCGACUCACCAGCUUUCCCCAUCUCCUGUGAUUGCCUUUUUCAGUGACCGUUAAUGGCUGCGAUCGUGUGUUACUUCAAAAUAAAAGCUUGUUUGCGGUUUCUCAGCUCAGAUUUUGUCCUCACAGGGCGGGAGAAUGAACCUCACAUUUGUGUGAUUGUUCAGAGGCUGUGUGGGCUGGAGGAGGCACAGUGGCAGUGACACUGCAUCAUUGUGGUCUGGUAAUGCUCUCCAUUCUGCAGGAUGCUUUGUCAAAACCUUCUUUUGCUUUAGCUGGAAUAUCUUUCAUUUAGACGUUAUUUAUAAUAGGGCAGUUAGUGUCCAUGAUGCCAGACAGAGAGGUUGAUUGUGUUAGUAACUGGCUUUGGCAGUAGAUGGCAUUUGAAAUGAUAUCCAUCACUUCCUCUGGUGAGUUUGUGGUUUCAUGUAACAAAGAAGACAGACUUCCUCGCAAAGUUAAUACGUUUACACGUCUCUCCGAGUCGGUGUUACCUCACGGUGUGCUCUACAUAAGCAUAGAAAAGCGGGUGCAGCCUUCACGCAGACAAGGGCUUUAAUUGAACUGAGAAAUCUUUCCGAGAUGAGUUUCCUGCUUGCUGUGUCAGGCCGCCUCUUAAGAGCCCAUCUUUACUCAUAUCCUGAGAUGAGGCGUGUCAGGGUGAAGUGAAAGUGCUGCAACCCUGUUCAGACCGCCUGAAGAACUAACUGUUAAUGCUGCCAGCUGAAAAAAAAAAAAAAGCCCAUAUAGAUAUUUCAGCUAAUUUAGGUGAUACAGUGAAAGUACUUCUGUAUCACAAGUCCUCUGAGGCCUUUACCCCCUAUAAGCAUGAAGGAUUGCAAAUAUUCGAGCAUCAGCGCAAAAACCUUUUGUUUGCAAAAGAGGAUAAAACUGCGGUCUCAGAGUCCUUGUGGGCUGUUAAAGUGUUUGCUCUUCAUCCAGUAGAAUAAAAGCAGCCGAGGAGCUCAAAUAGCUAAUACAGCAGAUGUAGUAGGAGACAUGACGUCGUCCAUGCCGAGACCCUAACUCUCAUGCAUUCAUUGAAGUGUUUUCUUAUUCGGGAAAAUAAUAAGAAUGCUGAAAGAAUGAGUCCCAAAGGAAUCAUUUUUUGUCGAUGGAACCAGUGCGAUGCUAACUCACGGUUUGGCCUACAGACACAACGUCAUCCCUGAACUUUUACUUCUGGUGUUCAAUAGUUCCUCAGGGAAUGAGGUAGUGUUCCCUUUACCAUAGCUUUGUCUGGAGGAAAGCAUGCCAUCAACCACUACAGCUUUGUGUUUAUCUGUGUCCAACAUCAGCAGACCAUUCAGGAGAAACACAAUGCUGUGGUUAAAAAUAGCAACCCCCGCUCAUUGGCGGUACCGACCGUACACGUCCGCACGACUUAUGGCACCUUUCUGCGGUAUCUACGUUUAGGUGAGCUUUUGCAGUGAGCAGGGGAAUACAUUGCAUCAGCAACGCGGACGAGUACCACGCUCUUUGUUUACCUGGAGGAGAAACAAGUGGUCUGAGACUCAAAAGAGAAGUCCAAUACAGGGUUGGCAUAUAACCAGAUGGAGAGAUUUGAUCCUCAAGGGAGGGAUUUGACUUUUGUCGCCUGAAGCUGAGUUAUUAAACUGUAGGUGUAGUGAGACAAAGAGCGACUGCAGAAGAAGCAGAAGCCUUAUAUGACACUGACAGUACAAGGAAGAUCUAUUUAUGGACUGAAACUGUGAGCGAGUCACAUCAGUUGUGUCUAAGUGUAAACCACAUGAAAUGUGUUCAAUCUAGUCUGUCAUUUACGACCAUGGUGUUCGCCAGCAGACUUAAUUACAAGCUAGCGCUGUUUGCUUAUGUGUCAUUCUUCCCGCUCAGUAACUUUUCCCCUCAGCGUUACCACGCUUCAUGCCAUGUGUUGACGUUUAUCUAGUCGACGAGAACAUGGUGUACCCCGACAGAUACUCGGUUUUCGGAGCUGAUGUCGCUCUUGAUUAGGCCCGUCACGAUGACUGAUGUUGUUGAACAAUAUGUUAAUAUAUAUGAAAUAAUGAUAAUUAUGCAACAAACAAUAUUAUUGUCAUUUUAACACCAUUUCAUGCCACUGAUUUAAUGACAAUAUAAUAGAAUGAUAAUGCAAGUACACUCUUUCAAGCAGCAAUUCACUUUUAAUUCUUAAAGGUAUUCAGCCAGUGGAAUGUGAACAAAAAAUGUAAAUAUCUUAAAUUAAUAAACAACAUCCUGCGCUGAUGCCUAAGUCUUAUUAUGGCAUGAAAAACCCUGCUGCUCAUUGUCAUGUUGGCUAAAAUGCUGUCUUAAGUAAAGAAACAUGCACGUAAACACAACGGGCAAUAUCGAGGUCGGCUACAAUGAUUGAGGUCAUCUCCGUAUAUGGUACGGCCUACAGUAAUUAUUGUUGUGACAUGCCUACUCUCCAUACAGAUCCUUUCGAUUUUCAAGAAUUAAGACCAAGAUACGUAUUGACGGUAAGUUUUACAGUUGGAAAAUAAAGUAAAAUCUAGUCAAGUUAGUUUUAUUCAUAGCUCAAUAACACAAAAACCACAAAUUAGCUUCAAGGGGCUUCACAAUCUGCACGGCAUACCGUCUGUCCUCAGACCUUUGAUUCUGAUAAGGAAGCACUCCCUCGAAAAACCCCUUUAACAAGGAAAAAUGUCUCAAGGACAGACCUCAACACCAGUCAGUCAUAUCUACUGCAAUUUCUUGCUACUUACCGGCUGACAUAUAUCAUGGAUACCAGUACAUCAGCAAUAAGCUAAUAUUGGCAGAUACAAACAUCAGGUCAGUCGGUGCAAUUGUACCGAUACUGAUUCAUUUCUCCAUCAAUGCCCCUUUUGUUUCAGUCGUCACAUCCACAUAAAGUUAUCAAGAGACGGCCUAUCUCAGACAAAUGACUUCCAACCCGCUCACCGAAUAAACGAGCCGACGGCCUGCUGUUGCAGUUUGGUACAUGAAGUGUCGCUGCGGUUCACUCAGCGCUUUCCUUAAUUCCAGAGAAUGCAUUGUAUAAGAUUUAAAGAGCUUUAUCCUCCAAAAUGAAGAAAAACAGCUCAACAGGAACAAUGGCUAAUGUGUGUCUGCUGGCCCAGCAGGGUUAAUCCUCAGAACAGCAGCGUCCUAUUGGCUAGUUAAAGCGGUUAGGAGGGAGGUGUAGUAAUCAGAUUAAGGACAAUGUCAUUUAAUCAAGUUCUGCGCUGUUUACAACAUUUCCGUUGUUCCCUCUCAUUACACCUUUUGCUCUGCUUGCAUUCGGUGUGCUGUGAUUGAUGAACGUGUUCUUGGAUUACCAGGAUACAUGAUAUGUUACUUUAUGCAGGAUCUUGAAAUCUACUAACUGCUCUGCUUGACCAAGCCGUGCUCCUCCUCCGUCCUACUUUAUUCCUCUGAGAUGGAUUAACUUCUUUCGGAGCUCCUGGUUUUUUUCCCCACUUCGUUGUCGCAACGACAAUCGAGACCAUGUUGCGCCGAAAAAGUGAGUUUUUUGUUUUCAUGGACAGUGUUCGCUCCGUGAAAGCGGAGACGGAGGAGCAGAAGGAGGAGCCCCCGCUGAGCCCGUAUGAGGAGUACCUGCAGGUGCUGCUGCAGAUGAAGAUGACCAGUGGCGUAAGUGAGCGGAGGCGUAAAGUGAUUCCUGCGUCAUCUGUCAAGCAAGGAAGGCGUGUGCCAGUCCCAGAAUGUCUGUGGUGUCCCGUUGCACAAUAAUACAAGAAAAGAGUUUCCGCUCUGUGAAAUCAAACGCUCGUUAGAUGCCAGCUUGUAGGACUUUUACAGAGCCUAAAAGAAUGCUUCUGUACGUUUAUUCCAUGAAUGAGUGGACCGCCCUUCCAGUCACUAUGACUCACAACAGCAACUUCCUGUUGCUCAAACCGCCGUGUAUCUUAUCGAGUUAGGGAACCGGCGACUCAUACAUGAAGCUGUUCUCGACUGUGACAUGGACGUCGGUGGAGGGAUUAAAUAACAGCGGGGGGUUGGAGGGGGGGUCGUGCACAGGCAGGCAUGGGGAAGAAAUGCUUUAUGGACCUGGAAGCGUGAUACACGUGCGCGCACGCCACCACACACACCUACAUUUCAGAGCGGCAGAGGCGUCGUUUCUAUAAAUAUCCACAUGGUAUGCACACAAGAGCUCUUACACAUAAGGUCACCCACCGCCCCAAAACAGCUGCUCGAGUGCUGCAGAACGUCGGCGUGUACGUUAGUGUGAGUUUUACUGUGAGCAUGCGUUUGUUUUGUUCUUUCUGUGAAUCACUUUGCGUAUAGAUAUAUGAGGGCAGCUACUCAGUGGUCAAGCACAUGACCGUCGGUCUUGGUUUACGUGCGUUGCACGAGCGUGUUUGCGCGUGUGAGGCCACUGUCCCCUUUUUUCCUGUGACUCGCCUCCCUGCGCUGGGAGGUCACACCGGGCUGUGGAGGCUUUGUUCCGCCACCGCUUUUCUUGCACAAAGCGCGGUGUGUGUUCGAGAGAGGGUUCGGCAUCUCACGCAAAUAAUUGUUCUUGCUGCUGGCCGCCCACUGGACGCUCAGUGGAUUUCAGUGGCUCUUGCUGUACUUACUCAUCUCUCUCUCUCUCUCUCUCUCUCUCUCGCUCUCUCUCUCUCUCUGCUGUGGUCAGUAAGAAGUACAAGGCUUUGGAUAAUUACUAGAACAACUCAAACAGCAACGGGCACUUUGCUACAGCUUUGCUUCAUUCGAUGAGGCAGGGUUAGUUUUGCAAGAACAAUCGGUUUACCAUAAUGGUUCUAAUAAACAAGCGCAUAAAAAAACCACACUGAAACCACCUUCUUUUUUUUUUUACUGACACUCAAUAUAGGCCUAUGGGUGUCACACAAUCAAUACUUGUUUUUUUUGUUGAUGGCUUAUUCACUGCCAUAUUUACAUAUUUUUUAUUAGUCAGCAGUUUCCUGUUCACCCCCUCAGUCUACCAAUGAAACGACUCCCUUUUUGCUCUCUUGUGUUUUUAAUGGCGCGUUGAUCUUUACUGUGAUCACCAGAGCAGCACACCGACCUCUGCAGAGGUGCUGAGGCCGUAAUGAAGCAGGAAGUGGCCCCAGGAGCGUUUCUUCAGAGGUUUGAAAAACAGUGCGAUCCUGUUAUCACCAACCUUGUUGUAAAAUGGUUCUGCUCACUUUGUGGCUCACGUCCUUUGCAACCCAACACCGGAUCCGUCUUGAUCCGUGAUCUCACUAUCUCAUCUUUCAUCCUCCCUAGGACAGACAUGACCGUUUCAAGUGGUUGUUAUUUAGUGCUUUUUGCAUCCACACAAGUUCCCCGCUUUUAUUGUGGACGUUGCAUUCAGGGUCAAGCAUCAAUACCUUUUUUCUGACAAUGAACACGUACAGAAGGUUAUAAAUAUUUGUUAUCUUCUUCAGUUACUGUAGAUGUUUCAAAGUUAAAUAAAUCCAGUAGUUUUUAGAUUCCAACAUCUGUACUGGUUUAAUUCCUUUUUUCUUGGUUGUUACGUCUAUAUGCGAUGACCAGGACAUGGGAAUAAUAUGAAACGGAGUCUGCCUGCACCAGGCUCACCUCUGUCUUGUGUUAGCGCUCUGUCUAUGUCAAGCAGAGAGGAAAGAGGAAACUUCAGUGUUGGGGAUGCAGGUCAAUGGGCCCUCAACGUGGGUGAAAUCAAGAGAUUUGAUCUGGAUUGGUCGUUAAAUAAAGUGCAUUAGUUGAGAUUAACUAGCAGUCUAAAUCAUUAAACUGCCCCAAUAAUCUCCAUCAGCAGUUGGAGGGUUGGAGGUCAGGAGGCUGAUCCUUAAACAAGCAUGCGUUUGUUUUCUUACAGCACACGGGCAGCCGACAUACAUUCAGUACAUGUCUCCUUUGUUCUCCGUUUGAACCUGUUUUCCAUUUCCUGGAUGAUGAAAAAAAAAUAGUAUUUAGCUGCGCUGUUCCAUUUAUAUUCUUUCAUGUACUACCACAAUAGUACAUGCAUCCCAGCCAGUGGGGUUGUGUCCUGAAAAAACAAGCAGAGCGGGGCCGGCUGGUUUCCUGAAGGGAUCCCCCACUUACUCCCUCCUGCAGGAACAAGGUCAGGUGUCAGAGGCCACAGAUGACAGAAUGGAAGUCAGGGUUGAAGCAGGAGUGAUUAGUCUUAAGUGUGUGUGUGGGUGUGUGUGGAGGGGGUUUUUACAAAAAAUUCCUCUGCAGGUUUGAGUAUGGGUUUAGGAACUGUUCAGCCAACUGUGACAGCAUUACCGACCCAACAUUGUUUGAUUUGCAUACUCAAUGUACAACUGCAUAACCUGCAUGACUAGAUAUUUUACAAGUAGGAAUGGCAAGAGGUCGAUCCAAAGAACCACGGAGUCUGCGUCUGACACACUUUCACAUAAUGUGUUGUUGUCUUUGAUACUUGCUCCACUCACAUUCAUAAUUUAUUAAGCAGCUUUUCCUCUCGGAGCUGGAGAAUUGCUUUGCUCAUGUCUUUUUUUCCAUUUUACUCGAGCAACCUCUCUCCCGUCUGAUAUCAGCAACGGUUCAUGAGCUCAUGACUCAUCUAGUUGCAGAUCAUAACCUUUAUUUUAUAAACUUCUUAUUCUAUUUGAAAUAUGGUAAAGUUAAGAGUUCACGAGGCCCCAGCAGCAAUAGGAUAAUCCCCCCCCCCCUCUCUUAAAAUGAAUCCCCUCCCAUGUAAUCCCGCCUCUCCUGUUAUUUUUCCUCCUUUCAACCCCCCUCCCUCUGCUUUUCCGCUCUCCCUCACUAUCCUCCUCACCCCAUCCCACUUACUCCACCUUACGCCUGAUGGAGCAUUGAGCCUGAAUGCUGUGGGCAGCCGUGGCCUCAGAUUCAGUGUGUGUGUGUGUGUGUGUGUGAGAGAGAGGGAGCCAGCGCAUCGGCUCCUCUCCUGCUCUCUGGGAUAUCUCGCUCCUUCCAGACAAUCGUGGAGUUACUUGCUACAACUGUGCAGUCUCUUUGUUAUUGUGUGGGAGUCAGCGGACAUUGUUCCAAAUCUGCACUUGGGAUACCUUGGAAAUGGUCUCGUGGAAGCCUUCUCUGACCUAACCUCAGCCUUUUGUUGUGCUGCUCCCGAGGAGUGGGAAGGAGGCGCAAGUUUGAUGGACAUUUUCUGGAUUUGGAUAUUUCAAAAGGGUACACGUUCCACACGGAGACACGCUGGAUAAGAUGUUGCCCCUGCAGAAAAGGGAUCAGUUUGACAACUUGGAGAAGCAUACACAGUGGGGGAUCGAGUUUGUGGAGAAGUACACCAAAUUUGUCAAGGAGAGAUCAGAGAUCGAGACCAGCUAUGCAAAACAAAUUAGGAAUUUAUCAAAGAAGUAUCAACCCAAGAAGAACUCGCGAGAAGAGGAUGAGAGCAAGUACACCUUCUGUCGAGCCUUCGUGACGUCCCUGAACGAGUUGAAUGACUACGCGGGUCAACACGAGGUUAUAGCGGAGAACCUGACGUCGCAAAUCAUCAGCGAGCUUUCACGCUACCUGCAGGAGCUCAAGUCUGAGAGAAAAUUGCACUUCCAUGAUGGUCGUAAGGCACAGCAGCACAUUGAGAGCUCGUGGAAACAGCUGGAAGCGUGUAAGAGGAGGUUUGAGAGGGACUGUAAAGAGGCAGACAGAGCACAGCAAUACUUCGAGAGGAUGGACGCUGACAUUAACGUGACUAAGGCCGACGUGGAAAAGCGAAGUUCCCACAAGGCACGACAGCAUGCUCAGUCCAGGCACCAGAUGGCAUCAGACAGUAAGAGCGAUUACUCCUCCUACCUGCAGAAGUUCAACCAGGAGCAGAAUGAGCAUUACUUCAACAUUAUCCCCAACAUAUUCCAGAAACUUCAAGACAUGGAGGAGAACAGAAUCGACAGGAUAGGAGUGUGCAUGAAGACGUUUGCAGACGUGGACCGCCAAGUGCUGCCCAUCGUGGGGAAAUGUUUAGACGGCAUGACAAAAGCAGCCGAGUCCAUCGAGCCCAAGACUGACUCAAAGCAGGUGGUGGAGUCCUACAAGUCCGGGUUCGAGCCCCCGGGGGACGUGGAGUUUGAGGAUUACGGCCAGGCCAUGAAGAGGACGGCGUCCGACACCAGCCUGACCAGCUCCAGAGAGGCCAAGGAGAAGCCCGUUGGCAAGAGCAAGGGCAAGCUGUGGCCGUUCAUUAAGAACAAGAACAAGCUUAUGUCCCUGUUAACAUCCCCCCACCAGCCCCCACCUGCCCCCCCAGCCUCAUCCCCACCCUCACCCUCUGCUGUUCCCAACGACCCCCAGUCUCCCAAGCAGCACAAGGAGCCCCUCUCCCACCGCCUCAACGACUUCAUGACCUCCAAACCCAAAAUGCACUGCCUCCGGAGCCUGAGGCGAGGGAUCACACUCAAUUCCCACGUCCGGAAUCUCAUUGAGGGCUCUGGACCAGAAGACUUCAGCCACCUGCCACCAGAACAGAGGAGGAAGAAGCUGCAGGGCAAGAUAGAUGAACUGAAUAAGGACAUUCAAAAAGAGAUGGACCAGAGGGACGCGCUAACUAAGAUGAAAGACGUGUACGUGAAGAACCCUCAGAUGGGCGACCCCGCCAGUGUCGACCCCCGGCUAUCGGAAAUUGGCCAGAACAUCGAGAAGCUCCAGUUUGAAGCGCAGAAGUUUGAGGGCUGGCUAGCGGAGGUGGAGGAGAGGAUGCCAUCCAAGAGUGAUACGAACCGGAGAAGUGGACUCUAUGAGACCCAGAACAACUCGACAGUGAGCAACAACUCGACAGUGAGCAACAACUGCGCGCAGGACAGAGAGAGGCCCUUGAGCAGCCCGGAUGGCAGCUACACAGAGGAGCAGAAUUCAGAGACUCAGGUCAAGGCCAACAUCAACCCCGUCCUCCCCACAUCCAGCACGCCAGAGUUCGACGACGAGUUCGACGACGACGAGACCCUGCCCACCAUCGGCACCUGCAAAGCCUUGUACCCGUUCGAAGGUCACAAUGAGGGCACCAUCGCCGUGGCAGAGGGCGAGCUGCUGUACGUCAUAGAAGAGGACAAAGGAGACGGAUGGACACGAGUGCGCAGGAACGAGGACGAGGAGGGAUACGUCCCCUCAUCCUACGUUGAGGUCUUUUUGGAAACAAAUGCCAAAGGUGCUAUGACAUACAUUUAACUCAGCAAGCGUGUUUUUAUUUUUGUUACUGUGAAGUCAGUAAGUGUCCGUCCACUGCCGUGUGAUUGGGGCAAAUUGUGGAGAUUAAAGAUUGUUACUGGUAGCUCAGAUAAGAGAAUAACUCCACACACACACACUUCCUGUCUCUCCUGGAAGGAAGGGCCAAUCAGAUUUGUCCAUUGUGCCUCCUGACAGUUGUGGCUGAUAGUGCGAGUGUGUGUCACUGUACACUGAACAAAACAUUUGGCACUGUGUAGGAUAUGACACUGAAAGCGAGCUGAGCCAGGCAGGUGUUGAGUACAAGAAGUGUGUGAGAAGAAGCUUGUAGUUCCUCACCUCCCAUUCACUGCAGUGCCACCUAGUGGUCAUAAAUAAAACAAAUAGAAAAAGACACGACUCCCUCAGUCCAAGCUGAGCAUGAUGGGACAAAUCACCCACUGACAAUGAUCACAUGUACUUGAUUUUUUUUAAAUAUGUAUUUUGUGUUUUUUUUGUUAAGAUUUCAAAUGACCAUUCUUUUAAUCAAGAGUUUGAUCCACAACCUCGCUCACAUAUGCGAGUCAGUACGGUAAUAAAUCAAUAAACUCGGCUAAGUGAAUGUAUGCCCCAUCUGAAGCGACUAUGAACAUUGUGUUUUGGUCACUUGUUGUAACCUUAAAGGAAAGCAUGCUCCAUGUGCAAUCACGCAGAUGUCAUUUCAAUCUGCUGUAAAAUAUGAAUACAUAUUCAAAGAUAUUUUUUUAGGCUAAAAAGAAAGAAAAAAAAAAAUCAAGAAAUAAAAAGUGCACCCCCCCCCCUCAAAUGUUGCAUGCUGUAGAUUAUUCAUAGUGCCGUUACAACAUGAACAAGUUGUGAAAGUAAUUAUUCUCUCCUAGUUAGGGAGGAUUUUAUACAACUAUUGAUCAGAUUAGUAGCCGAUAGCCCCGUUAGAAUGUGCUUUCUCUUCUUUUUUAAUUAAGUGUUGGGCUGUUCUGGUCCUUUUUUCCAGGCCAGUGGUAAAGGAAUAAAAAGGACUGAGAAUUAGCGGUGCUAAGCUAUAUGAUUCCUAAAAGUGCGAGGCUGGCUGAGGAAUGGCAGGGCAAGCAACCUCGGAGAAACCACCACGUUCCUCACGCGCUCACAGAGUCAGAAAGUGAAAGACGACCUGAAUCUAGAAACGAGAGAGACGUCCGAUUAGAACGCAUCUCUCUUUCCAAACCGUUGCAAAAACAAAAACCUAUCGGCAGCGUUGUGCUUCCCCCCGCAGAACUCUGCGAUGUGAAGCGACGACAAGAGAAAUCCAUCGUAAUUUUUGCGCUCAUAACCCUUUUUCCAUCCUUAACACCCACACAGCAGUCACAACCACAGUAUACAAUUUGCUUUUUUAGUUGUUUUUUGGCAAAGCUUCGCUUCUUAAUGUAACUAACUCCGCUUACACCACGCGGUCAUGUCCGUGGCUGUUGGCUUCCUCACUCUGAACGCCACCGCUGGCUCUGCCACUUCCCUUUCUCCUUACCUUUGCCCCCAUUGCACACACACGUGCACACACACACGUGGCGGAGGAUGUGGUCAGAGACAGGACGGAGAGCAGCAGGAGCCUUACGGACAAAAGGCCAGCUGUCAAACACCUUCAUCCGGCGGUGUGUAUGUGUGAGUCGGGCUCAUCUACACACAUCACGGUCACCCCUCCCACUAAAAUCACCUCCAUAUUCGCAGAUGUCAGAAGAAGAAGGUGCUACUCAUCUAUCUGUAUGUUAUGUUGUGUAUUUGUGUUUGUCGGAGCAGAAUGCUUGUAUGUAUGUAUGUAUGUAUGUAUGUAUGUAUGUAUGUAUGUAUGCAUGUAUCAUUUUAAAAAAGGUAUUGUGUGUUGUGAUGUUCCACUUUCUCCGCACCACGACAGCCCCCAACUCACAGAUGGAUGAUGGGUCAUUCGCCAUCUUCUUCAUCCUACAAUUCUUGUCUUGUCACUGGUGUCUGUUCCUCUCUCUGACCACGCCCCUCCCUCCCUCCUGAUGCAGCUCAGGCAAUCCCUUGGCUGCUUUGAGCCCCCCCCCCCAUUUUUACAUUUUUUUGCAACGGGCAGGGGGCCUCUCAGCGUUGUGGUGUGCUGCAUGCUUGCCCUGUCUUCCUCCUCACCCCUUUGCUGGCGACCUGGAGCAGGUGGGGGGGGGGGGGGGUUUGGUCAGCUUACGCCCCCCCCUCGCCUCCAGCCUCUCUGUUCAGUUAACCCUCAUUGCCUGGUCAUACUGUUUGAAUUAACCUGAAUGCUACUGUUUGGGUUCGGUGCCUGUGGUUCUUUUUUUAAAAUUUUGAUUAAAUCUCCUUUCUUUUGGUUCAGAAAGCACGUUUCCCUGUUUCUAACAGCGAGUGAGUGAUCUCCUCCUCCCAGUGUUCCCUAGUUUAAUCCCAAAACUGUCAAGUAGAGGACGAUAGGGACCCGAAAUGUUUUUCUGGAUGAUCUUAUGCAUAGGUAGGCCAUGGAUGUCUUGUGCAUUUGUUUUUACCGUAAGUACACAGUACAGUAUGUAUGUAAAAAUAUUAGCAUUGUAUGGUUUGAUCAGUCUAACGCAAGAUGUUGUUAGUUUACAGUUAAUCAAGCUUGUGGAAACGUCUCCACUCGGUCCAAGCAACACUUUCACCCUAAAAACAACAGCUAUGAAGGUCUUAUUUACACCUGGUGUUCUUAGGAUGGUCCACAUAACUGUCUACUGUAUAUGAAAGUAUACUGUGAUCCAUAUUUUCCUGCGAGUUGGUGACUGAAAUGUGACCCAGAUUCACCUGUUUUUGGGCCUUAACUGGCUGAUGCUAGCUGUGGUAUGAUGAAAGGAUUAAGAUGUGAUUAUCUCAAAUGUUUGGGGGCAAAUUUCAGAGUUUUUAUAAUCAUACAAGAGAAAUUAUGUCCACUGAUCCCCCCCCCCACUCCCUCUCCCUGCUCAACGGCACAUAAUGUACGUGAUUUUAACUCUUUUUUGUUUUAUAUUUGAUGAUGUUGAAUUGAGAUUCAGCUUUGUUUUCUUGUUUUUUUUUUGUUUUAAAGCUGGAAGUCUAUGUUGUAGCUUAUUCUGCCUGAAUAGGUCUAAACCCCCCCUUUACUAAAUAUGAGUAACAAUGAAAUUGUUUCGAAUGAAGCCAUUCUUAAAUAUUCAUCUGAUGCAGCAUGUUACGAACACUUCUUCAACGGAGGAGCCGUGGACAUAUUGACCAUUCGAACUGUUGAUGGAAGUAUUGAUCAAAUCUCUGCUGAAUCCAGCUUAAAAAGUCCCCCGUUGGCUUUUCACCAUCCGUCAAGACGUCAAAACAAGCCACUUUUUUUUUUUUUUUUUUCCAAUGAUAAAUCUGAUGAGGCAGAUCGCCAGCUGCCCGCGCUCUGCAACGAGACCACCACAAACCUUCGAGUCGAUGCCCCGGAAUAACCUGCCUGUACAGUGGAAAUGGCAUGUUGGAAUUAGAGAGAAUAUAUAUGAAUAUAUAAAUAAAGUUUAAAAAGGAAAACAUCUAUUUUAACUAUUGAGAGUCUUACCAUUACUUUAUCUGCUUUGCAAAGUAAGACUUCUUUUCCUUUGUAAAGGUCUACCAAAUGGUGUGUUUUUGCACUUUUUCGUUCGUGUUCCAUUUGGUAGCCCAUGCUUGUGUUUUGGAGCACUGAAUACUUUGUAUUGUGUUUACCGUGCCAAUUAAAUAUGCCUGGAAAGUUAACAA
This is an RNA transcript of Anarrhichthys ocellatus (wolf-eel), 13824 nucleotides long. It is a transcript of the gene named formin binding protein 1b, with no coding region annotated. NCBI's taxonomy places the organism in Eukaryota, Metazoa, Chordata, Actinopteri, Perciformes, Anarhichadidae. The transcript has 18 exons. The record is from RefSeq and is a predicted model, not a curated record.